This 778-nucleotide ribosomal RNA is filed under the name Analges corvinus. RNAcentral describes it as "partial large subunit ribosomal RNA". It matches the Rfam family "Eukaryotic large subunit ribosomal RNA", at positions 77 to 650 of the family's 3401-position model. The record is from RNAcentral. Lineage: Eukaryota; Metazoa; Arthropoda; Arachnida; Sarcoptiformes; Analgidae.
CCCUGAGUAACGGCGAGCGAAAAGGGAAGAGUCCAGCGCCAAGUCUUGACGCCCAAGCGUUCAAGAGAUGCGGCGUUAAUGUAUUAUCGCAUCGUACAUUGUUGCCUGUUUCAAGUUCCCUUGACUGGGACAUCCAUAGCGGGUGCUAGGCCCAUAGAGACAGGAGACCAGUGUGCGCAGAUAAUGCAUUCUAGAGUCAGGUUGCUUGAGAGUGCAGCUUAAAGUGGGUGGUAAACUCCAUCUAAGGCUAAAUAUGACAGCGAGACCGAUAGCAAACAAGUACCGUGAGGGAAAGUUGCAAAGCACUUUGAAGAGAGAGUUCAAUAGUACGUGAAACCACUGGGAGGCAAACAGAUGGAACCACGAAGUUGCGCCUUGCUCGAUUCAAUCAUUGAUACUGGUUACCGGUUGUUGUGUGGAUCUUUUCGGAGAUUAGCAAUUGUCGUGGAACUGGUUUCAGUGGUGCAUUUCGUGUAAAGAUGCUAAGCCACGUUCGAUUAGAGUUGGGACGGCCGUAGGACAGAAUUCAAGGAAGGUGACCGGAAAGUGCUUGCAUUUUUCGGUGUUAUAGCCUUGGAUUGGUACCGUCGCCUAACAAACUGAUCGAUAGAAAUUCUCCUUAGGAGUAGAACUGUGUCUGCCUGUGGCCAUUAGUCAAUGUUUCGAAGUGUUCUUUACGUAUCUUUGGUGCGGAAAGGCAUUUCAACGAUGUUGGUUAGUGGUUGCUUGCGUGACAUGGUGGAACUGUGGCGCGAGUAGGUCGGUUUCCCUCUGACCC